GAUGAAGAACGUAGCGAAAUGCGAUAAGUAAUGUGAACUGCAGAAUUCAGUGAAUCAUCGAAUCUUUGAACGCACAUUGCGCCCUCUGGUAUUCCGGGGGGCAUGCCUGUUCGAGCGUCAUUACAACCCUCAAGCUUUGCUUGGUAUUGGACAUUGCCAGUUUCUGGCAGGUCUUAAAAUCAGUGGCGGUGCCAUUUGGCUUCAAGCGUAGUAAUUCUUCUCGCUUUGGAGAUCCAAGUGGUUACUUGCCAAUAACCCCCAAUUUUUUCAGGUUGACCUCGGAUCAGGUAGGGAUACCCGCUGAACUUAAGCAUAUCAAUAAGCGGAGGA
This 330-nucleotide unclassified non-coding RNA is filed under the name soil metagenome. Its description in RNAcentral is "partial contains 5.8S ribosomal RNA, internal transcribed spacer 2, and large subunit ribosomal RNA". The stretch from base 1 to 120 matches the Rfam family "5.8S ribosomal RNA", at positions 35 to 154 of the family's 154-position model. The record is from RNAcentral.